CCCGCACAAGCGGUGGAGCAUGUGGUUUAAUUCGAUGCAGCGCGAAGAACCUUACCUACUCUUGACAUCCAGAGAACUUAGCAGAGAUGCUUUGGUGCCUUCGGGAACUCUGAGACAGGUGCUGCAUGGCUGUCGUCAGCUCGUGUUGUGAAAUGUUGGGUUAAGUCCCGCAACGAGCGCAACCCUUAUCCUUUGUUGCCAGCGGUUCGGCCGGGAACUCAAAGGAGACUGCCAGUGAUAAACUGGAGGAAGGUGGGGAUGACGUCAAGUCAUCACGGCCCUUACGAGUAGGGCUACACACGAGCUACAAUGGCGCAUACAAAGAGAAGCGACCUCGCGAGAGCAAGCGGACCUCAUAAAGUGCGUCGUAGUCCGGAUUGGAGUCUGCAACUCGACUCCAUGAAGUCGGAAUCGCUAGUAAUCGUAGAUCAGAAUGCUACGGUGAAUACGUUCCCGGGCCUUGUACACACCGCCCGUCACACCUUGGGAGUGGGUUGCAAAAGAAGUAGGUAGCUUAACCUUCGGGAGGGCGCUACCACUUUGUGAUUCAUGACUGGGGUG
Molecule: ribosomal RNA, 561 nt
Filed under: uncultured Gammaproteobacteria bacterium
Lineage: Bacteria; Pseudomonadati; Pseudomonadota; Gammaproteobacteria
Description: bacterial SSU rRNA
Rfam family: Bacterial small subunit ribosomal RNA
Source: RNAcentral